GACGAACGCUGGCGGCGUGCUUAACACAUGCAAGUCGAACGGAAAGGCCCUGCUCUUGUGGGGUGCUCGAGUGGCGAACGGGUGAGUAACACGUGAGUAACCUGCCCUUGACUUUGGGAUAACUUCAGGAAACUGGGGCUAAUACCGGAUAGGAGCUCCUGCUGCACGGUGGGGGUUGGAAAGUUUCGGCGGUAGGGGAUGGUCUCGCGGGUUAUCAGCUUGUUGGUGGGGUAGUGGCUGACAAAGGCUUUGAAGGGUAGCCGGCCUGAGAGGGUGACCGGCCACAUUGGGACUGAGGUACGGCCCAGACUCCUACGGGAGGCAGAAGUGGGGAAUAUUGCACAAUGGGCGGGAGCCUGAUGCAGCAACGCCGCGUGCGGGAUGACGGCCUUCGGGGUGUAAACCGCUUUCGCCUGUGACGAAGCGUGAGUGACGGUAAUGGGUAAAGAAGCACCGGCUAACUACGUG
RNAcentral lists this ribosomal RNA (468 nucleotides) under uncultured bacterium. RNAcentral describes it as "partial 16S ribosomal RNA". It matches the Rfam family "Bacterial small subunit ribosomal RNA", at positions 28 to 507 of the family's 1533-position model. The record is from RNAcentral.